UCCCACUGAUGCCGUGCAUCUCAUCUAACAGUUAUUGAUGAUACGCACAUCGAUGCAUAGACAACUCAUUAUCCAGAUGCUUCUUUAAGCAUAUUAUAGUGACUUGGUCCCUAAGUCAUGAGAGCUCAGAUAAAAUAUAUUACCUUACUCCUUAGUUAAGCCCGACCCACGUUCAUUAGCAGAUGUGAAGCUGUCAUUGAGUCCCUCAGAUAAUACAUAUUAGGCCCAACCCCAUCUUCAUCCUAGAGCAAUUCUUUU
This 258-nucleotide long non-coding RNA is filed under the name Elaeis guineensis (African oil palm). Its description in RNAcentral is "long non-coding RNA (EGUI_LNC039451)". Lineage: Eukaryota; Viridiplantae; Streptophyta; Magnoliopsida; Arecales; Arecaceae. The record is from RNAcentral.